ACUCCCUUCACAUUCUAACUUUUCAAGCUUAAUUUCCUUUUCUUGUGAACCUCAUCAGAAUUUCUUAGUGUUAUUUGGGCCAGAGGAUCCUGCUGGCAUGUUGAAUGCUGUGAAUUCUUUUUUAGACCAACAUUUUUAAAUGUACAGAACCUCUACCAAGGAGCUGGUCUUGUGUAUAGUGGGUAAAGUGUACCCCUGCGAUGCUGGUAUCCCAUAUGAGUGCUGAUUUGUGCUUUUACAAGUUUGAUCCAGCUCCACACUAAUGGCUUGGGAAAGCAGCCGAAGAUGGCCCAAGAUUUGGGCUCCUGUCACCCAUGUGGGAGACAUUGGUGAAGCUCCUGGAUCCUGGUUUAGGGUGACCCAGCACUGACCCGUGUGGCCAACUAGGGAGUGAACCAGUGCACUGAAGAGUCCGUCGCUCACUCUCUCUCACUGUCUCUCCCUCUUUCCCUCUUUCAAAUAAAGAAAUAUUUUUAAAAAAAUCUUUAUCUAGUGUGUCUAUUUCUUCAUUUUAGGCUCCCUUCUUCAUUGCCUUGGGUUCGUGCACAUUUUUGAUGAUCAGUGAAGUCUACCUUACCUUUGCAUUUGAAAAUGCCGAACUGUGGCCAAGACUUCUUCUUACUAUUCGGCAGCAGGGCAACUUCCCAUGUUGCUUGUUAUUGGCAGCACCUGCAAUCAAGAGAGCACCUCUUCUCACACACAAAGCAGCUCUACAGACGCUUAGAUGCACCAGGAUCUCCAAAGUCUGCAGGGAUGGUGUCAGCCACCAGCAGGGUCUGAUGGUCGGCUUUCUGUGUGGUUACUCGUGGCCUUUCAGGUGUCAGACUAAGUGCUCCAGUUUCCAGCUGGCUGUUCUCCAGAAGCCAACCUGCAUUCCUGUGGACAGGAAUCCUCCAUAUGCAACUUGCUUUAGCAAAGCAGCCAGGUUGGAGAGUUGGCUGCAGAGAGGAAGCUUCAGUCUUAUAACAAUCUUACGGCUUCCAGAAAGCACCAGCCUGGCCCCUAAUCAGAAUGGAUUAAACAAAGGAAGAAACCCUAGAAAGUAAGGCAAGUUGGGCAGUGCAAAAAUGCUCUCUAAAAACAAAAAUCAAGAUGUAUUUGAAUACAGUUUCCUUCACAUUAAAUGGAAAGUUUGGCUAGUAAAAAAUUAGCAAUAAAAAUUCUAAAUGUAACUUCUAAACA
Molecule: long non-coding RNA, 1182 nt
Filed under: Oryctolagus cuniculus (rabbit)
Lineage: Eukaryota; Metazoa; Chordata; Mammalia; Lagomorpha; Leporidae
Description: lncRNA (ENSOCUG00000034504.1)
Source: RNAcentral